RNAcentral lists this unclassified non-coding RNA (4581 nucleotides) under Daphnia pulex (common water flea). RNAcentral describes it as "uncharacterized LOC124210527, transcript variant X1". Lineage: Eukaryota; Metazoa; Arthropoda; Branchiopoda; Diplostraca; Daphniidae. The record is from RNAcentral.
UUCUUCACGCUCGAAGGUCACGGAGAUCAUUACGAAAAACGUGUAAUUCGACGGCGGAGAGGUUGGGUGAGGACGACACGUGUUACCUCAUUAUCAAGCAGGUACAAUAGCCGCAAGGCGUGAGAGGUGAAUCAGGGUGAGGAAAAGUCGUAUAUAAGGAGAGAGAAAAGGUGUUUGGAAGCAGUUGAGUGAGCAUCUCCGACACGGCAACAUCUGCUGUGCACUAUUUGUCACUAACUGCAUUCUUCAUUGUGUAAUUAGUUCGUAAUCAAAGUAAUCAUGAUUUAAGUACAGUAUGGCGCAAUGCUGCUGUUGGAUGUUGCAUCGUUGAUGGCUGGGUCGACAAAGCUCUGGUUAACCGAUGUCUCCUGGGUAUGGCGAAUAUUGAAUCACACCAUGUCCGUCUUGUUACUCAAUAUCAACCAACACAUCUCCGGCUUACUUUUUCAUCACCAGUUUGCAAUUACGGAUUUAUGCUGUUCUUGAUUGUUGUCUUCAAAUACUACACCAUCCAGGCACCAGAGUAUUACACUACAACUAUUGCUGGCCCAGUCCCGAAUACUUCACUAAGCCCCUGGAAUACUACAUUACAUCCUACGUUGCCCCAGCUUACUACACUACAACAUACGCAGCCUCAGCUCACCACCCCGCAGCUCCCCACUAUUACACCUCCAAGGCAACUGAGUACUACACGACUGCUUGUGCUGCUCCAACCUUCUAUAUAUAGACUCAAGUAAUACUCUGCUUCAGUUACCCCACCGAGGCUCCAACUUACUAAAAUAAAAAAAAAAGGAAGAUAGAAAAAAGGAAGGAAUUUUUGUUGUGUUCCCAUCCUCAGCAACGUCAACUUGCAGAAGGAAAGGCCAGUUUUCACUUUCGAAGGUAAAUACCCACAAGGCUUAGGAGGUGAGGGUGAGAAAAUAAUUCGUAUAAAAUGAGAGAGAAAAGGAUACAGACAUCAAUUGAGUGAGCAUCACCGACACGUCAACAACUGCUGUGAACUACCUGUAUCAACUGGCUUCUUCAUCGCAUUACCAGCUCGCAGCAAUUAUUCGCAGUUAUGGUCAACUUUAAUGUCGUGCUGCUGUCGGAUGUUGUAUCGUUGAUGGCUGGGUCGACCACUAGUGUACCAAUGUCUUUUGGGUACGGAUACCAAACCGCAAUGCCGACGCCCUACUACACAACAACCAUUUCGCAAUCAUGGUAAAUUAUGGCGUAAUGCUGCUGUUGGAUGUUGCCCGUUGAUGGCUGGGUCAACAACUGGUGUACCGAUGUCUCCUAGGUAUGGCGAAUAUUGAAGCACAGCAUAUCCGUCUUAUUACUCAACAUCACCGACGCUGCUUCAGCUUACUACACCAAGGCUCCAAAGUACUCCACCACCAAUGUUCCAGAGUAUUACAAGUUGAAUCGCAGGAGAGAAAAGGUGAAAUAAUCAGUCGAGUGAUAAUCUCCAACACGACAGCAACUAUUUGGCUUUGCACUAUUUGUCGUCAACUGCAUUCUUCGUCGUAUCACCAGUAUGCAAUCACGGGCCGAAACUAUGGCGUUAUACUGCUAUUGAUUGUUGUCCUCAAGUACUUCACCACCGAGGUUCCAGAAAAUUUCACUGCAAUUUAUGCUGCCCCCCAGCUGCAGUACCAAAGAGCCUGAGUACUACACCGUGGCUUCCAAGUACUAUACCACCAAGGCACCGAAGUUAUACACGACUACGUAUGCUGCCCCAACCUGCUAAACCGUGACUCAAAAGUGUUACUCUGCUUCAGUUACUACACCGAGGCUCCAACUUACUGUACCACCAAAGCUGCUGAAUACUAUACCGAAGCGCCCAAGUACUACACCUCCAAGGCUACAGAAUGUUACACCCAUGCUGCAUCGAGCUACUACACCGCAGCACCGAAGUAUUAUUGUGCCCAGAACCCGAGUACUUCACCGAGGUUCUGGAUGACUACACUACAACCUACGUUGCCCCAGCUCACUACACCGUGGCUCCCAAGUACUACAACAACGAAUCACCUGAGCACGACUACGUGUGCUGCCUCAACCUACUACACCGAGACUCCCAAGUAUUACUCUGCUUCAGUUACUACACCGAGGUUCCUACUUACUUCACGGCCAAAACGGGUGAAUACUACGCCGAAACGCCUAAAUACUACUCUGUCCCGAGCUACACAACCACAACGCGCGGCGGCGGAGUAUUUCGUAGCCCCAAAUCAUUACCCAAUGUGAACCACCUGUAUCAACUGGCUUCUUCAUCGCAUUACCAGCUCGCAACAAUUGUUCGCAGUUAUGGUCAACUUUAAUGUCGUGCUGCUGUCGGAUGUUGUAUCGUUGAUGGCUGGGUCCACCACUAGUGUACCAAUGUCUUUUGGGUAUCGAAACCGGAUACCAAACCGCGACUUACCGACGUCCUACUACACAACAGCAACAUACGCUUCAGCCGGUUAUUACAUCAAGGCGCCAAGGAAUUACACCACAACUUAUGAUGCCCCGAUCUACUGUAACGAACGCCCUGAAUUACAGAUAUCCUUCAGUUGCUGCAAGCAUUAACUGGUUUCGUGCUGCUUUUGAAUGUUGUGCCUUGAAUGUUGCUGUCUUACUACACAACAUACGUAACGACCUGUUGCUACAACGGGACUCCAACUACUACACCGAAAAGGCUGAAUGUUACACAAGGACAGGUUUCUGUUUACUACACCACCAUCGCCCUCGAGUGUUACGCUGCCCCCAACCGCUACACUGAAAUUCCGAAGUACUACACCAUCGAAGGAAAACCAAUUCGCAUUCAUGGAUUACUAUGGUGUUGUGCUGCGGUGGUGUUGCUGAGUGUUGUAUUGUGAUGGCUGGGUCGACCAUGGGUGUACCGAUGUCUUCUGGUUAUGGUGGUUUUCAAGUACUAGAAGCUAUAGUUAGUAGCUAGCAGCCAAGUACACCACGUUGCUGCCUUAGUACUUAACAACGUCUACAUUCGCAGCACCUACUUAGUACACUGAUGUUCGUAAAUACUGCACAUCCAAGGUUCCUAGAGUACUUCACGAAUAUCUACGCUGCUCCGAGAUAAUGCACGGAAGUAUCACUCUACCCCGAGUUACAUCAACAAAACGUCUGAAUACUACACUGACGAAAUACUACACCACCAAAGCUAAGUAUUACACCGAGGCUGCUGCUUAUUAAACCAACAAAGCGGUUGAGUACCGAGGGGUCCAAGUACUACACUUCAACCUACUGCAGAGCAGUAUUUGUCAACAACUGCCAUAAUCGUAUGAAACAAUUGUGGCUAACUAUGGUGUUGUGCGGUGGGUUUUGCAUCGUUUAUGGCUGGGUCGACAACUGGUGUAUCGAUGUCUCCUGAUUUACUACACCAAGGCUCCAAAGUACUCCACCACCAAUGUUCCAGAGUACAAGCUGAAUCGCAGGAGAGAAAAGGUGAAAUGAUCAGUGAGUGAUUAUCUCCAACGCGGCAACAACAACUGCUGUGCACUAUUUGUCAUCAACUUCUUUAUUCAUCGUAUCACAAGUGUGCAAUCACGGUAUACAAUGGUGUUUUGCUGCUAUUGAUUGUUGUCCUCAAGUGCUACACCACCAAGGCACUGAAGUUAUACACAUCUACGUCAGCUGCCCUAACCUGGUAAAACGGGACUUCAAAGUAAUACUCUUCUUCAUCAGUUAUUACACCGAGGCUCCAACUUACUGUGCCACCAAAGCAGCUGAAUACUAUACCGAAGUGCCUAAAUACUACACAUCCAAGGCUACAGAAUAGUUCACCAUAUCUUAUUCUGCCUCGAGCUACUUCACCGCCCUAAAGUAUUAUUCUGCACCGAGCCUGAGUACCUUCAACAAGGCUCUGGAGUACUACACUACCACCUACGUUACUCCAGCUCACUAAACCGUGAUUCCCAAGUACUACACCAAUGAACCACCUGAGUACUACACGACUACGUAUGCUGUCUUGCCUCAACCUACUACACCGAGACUCCAAAGUAUUACUCUGCAUCAGUUACUACACCGAGGUUCCUACUUAUUUCACUACCUGAGAAGUUGAGCAUUACGACGAAGUGUUUAGUAUUACUCUUCCCCGAGUUACACAAUCACAACGGAGGUGGUGGUGUACUUCGUAGCCAAAUAACACAGCUGCUCCUUCCUACUAAAUUGAACUACAAUACUACAUCGAGACUCCAGUUUACUACACCAGAACCUACGCUACAUCUAACUACUACACUUAAACUACUGCAAUCUUCUUCGUAGCAUCAGUUCGCAUUCAUUGGUAAAUUAUGGUGAAAUGUUGCUUUUGGAUGUUACAACGUUGAUGGUUGGGUCAACAAUUAGUGGACCGAUAACUGGGGAUAUGGCGAAUAUUAAAGCACAACACAUCCAUCUUGUUAAUCAGUAUCAGCCAACACAUCUCCAGCUUACUUAUUCAUCACCAGUUUGCAAUCAUAGAAUACUGCUAUUCUGAUUGUUCAAAUUCUACGCCAACCAACCUCCAGAAUAUAACACUGCAAGUUUUACUGGUCCAGUAAAAAUUCGCCAGGUUACAAAUACUUCCUCAACGUCCAAAUACUACAUUAUUUAUGGUAAAAAUAU